RNA transcript from Lagopus muta (rock ptarmigan), 3918 nucleotides. It is a transcript of the gene named solute carrier family 37 member 2, with no coding region annotated. NCBI's taxonomy places the organism in Eukaryota, Metazoa, Chordata, Aves, Galliformes, Phasianidae. The transcript has 18 exons. The record is from RefSeq and is a predicted model, not a curated record.
ACCCAACCCACGCUCCUAGGGCCAGCGGUUUCCUCUGUGAAGAAGGGGCUUUGCUAUGGGAAAGGUCUGUUUCAUCUCUUGGCACAGCUCUUGGGAUGCUGGGACAAACUUGUUCUGAGCAGAAGGCUGCUGUGUGGCACCCACAGGGCUGCUCCUCUUGCUUUGCUGGGGCCCUGAGUAUCUCUGAACUGAAACUCCAUGCCGCCAGCUCCCCAUCAAAGCUUCAUUUUCUUGCAUCCUGCUGGGAUGCCGUGAUGACCAAGCCUCCUCUCUGCUAUUAACCCAGGCAGGAAGGGCAGGCGCCCAAGCAUGCAGCCCCACUGCUGCUGCCGCUGACCCCGAACCGUGGCCGGAGGUGGCUCAGCACCAUGGUGCCAGCACUACUCAUUAACUGGGAUUUGCGUCAUGGGAAGACACUGAAGAUGGCCCUCGAGGGUCGCCCACCUCGGCCAACCCACGAGGAUCAGGGCUGGGGUGUCUGCGUCGCCUUGCUUGUGCCCUGGGGCUCCAGGGAGGCAGAGGACCCGAUUCCUGUCCAUCCCGUGGGCUGUAGGCUGCAUCGACGCUGAGCUUAAAGGGAUGGUGGUCAAAUAGAGCCACGGUCAAACCGCUGUCACCAUCUGUUCCUUUGGGUGAUGCUGAGCCCUGCUCACGCCCCAUCACUGACAGUUCUGUGUAGUGGCAGUGUCAAAAUCCACGUCAAUCGACUUCGGUUCGUCCGAGGCUGUGCAGCAGGUUGGCCUGGGGCAGCCGAUCCCGCAGCCCUUCCGUGUGCUGCCGGGGGAUGGGGCGCAGGGGGACCUGAGAGCCGCGGCCGUGGGGAUGCCGGCGCUCCUGGGCAGCCGUGAGCUGUGCCCCGAUUUGUUCCUCCUUAGUUUCUCUUCGUCCUCCUGUUUUUGUUUGUUUUCUUUCCACUUUUUUUCCCUUCUAAAUUUUUUCUGAUUUCGUUAUUUUGUCUUUUUUUUCCCAUUUUUUUCCCUACUUCCUUAUCUUUUGUGUUCUCAUCUUUCUUUUUCAUCUUUUUGUUCCUCUAUUUUUCUGGUUUUUUUUUUUCCAUUUUUUCUUUUUUUCCCCUGUUUUAUUUUCCACUUUUUUUCCUUUUCCUGUAAUUCCCUUUUGCUCUUUUUCUUUACUUCAUCAUUUCCUCUUUUUUCAUUAUUUUUGUUUGUUUUCCCUUUAUUUUGUUUUCUUUCCAUUUUCCUUAUUUACAUUUGUGUGUGUGCGUACUUUUUUUUUUCUUUCCCCCUUUUUUCCCCACGCUUCUGUUUUGUUUUUUCUUUUAUUUUUUUUUUUCCACCCCUCCUUUCUUCUCUUUCUUCCCCCUUUUUCUUUUCCUUCUUUUUUUCGUUUCUCACUUCUUCCAUCACCUGUUUAGCUUUUUUUUCUCCCCAUCCCCCCCGCUGGGGCGGGCAGUGCGGGGCUCGGGGCGGUCCCUGGGCGGUGCCGGGCGGGGAGCGGCGGCCCCGGGGCAGUAAAGGGCCGGGAGCGGGAGCGGGGCGCGGCCCGCCGCUCGCCAUGAGGGCAGCGCUCGCUCCCGGCAUCCGCCUGCUGCGCGCCGUGCCCCGGGACAGCCGCUACCGUGGACUGACGCUAGUGCUGACCUUCCUCUCCUACACCAGCUACCACCUCUCCCGAAAACCCAUCAGCAUCGUCAAGAGCCAGCUGCACCUCAACUGUUCGGCACUGGGCACCAACCCCCACAACGACUCCAACAGCACCACGUGGUGCAGCUGGGCGCCCUUCGAUCAGGACAACUACAACGAGCUUUUUGGUGCUCUGGACAAUGCCUUCCUUGUGGCGUAUGCCAUCGGGAUGUUCAUCAGUGGCAUUUUCGGGGAGCGGCUGCCGCUGCGGUACUACCUGUCAGUGGGCAUGGUGCUGAGUGGGAUCUUCACAGCACUCUUUGGCUUUGGCUACUUCUGGAACAUCCACGUCCUGUGGUACUUCAUUGUUGUGCAGGUGUGCAAUGGGCUGGCACAGACGACCGGCUGGCCCGCAGUCGUGGCAUGCGUCGGGAACUGGUUUGGGAAGGGGAAGAGGGGUCUGAUCAUGGGCAUCUGGAACUCACACACCUCUGUGGGCAAUAUCCUGGGCUCUCUCAUUGCGGGCGUCUGGGUGUCCUCUGACUGGGGCUUGUCCUUCAUCGUGCCCGGCAUAAUCAUCGCUGUCAUAGGCAUUAUCUGCUUCUUCUUCCUUGUGGAGCGUCCUGAGGACGUUGGCUGCAGCCCCCCCCAGCAACACGAUGCAUCAGAUGAGAAGGAUCCCGAAGGGGUGACCUCUGAGGACUGCAGCAGCACUGACUCCAAAAAGCUGGCUGAGGAGCUUGAAGCCAUCAGCUUCCUCGGGGCACUCUGGAUCCCCGGUGUAGUGGAGUUCUCCCUUUGCCUACUCUUUGCCAAGCUGGUGAGCUACACCUUCCUCUACUGGCUGCCACUUUACAUCGUGAAUGUUGCUCACUUUGGUGCCAAGGAAGCUGGAGACCUGUCCACCCUCUUUGAUGUUGGCGGUAUUUUAGGCGGGAUCUUUGCUGGCCUCAUUUCUGACUACACUGGUGGCCGGGCCACUACGUGCUGCGUGAUGCUGGUGGUGGCUGCUCCCAUGCUGUUCCUGUACAACUACAUUGGACAGAAUGGCAUUGGCACAUCUAUAGUAAUGCUGAUCGUCUGCGGUGCGCUGGUGAACGGCCCCUAUGCACUCAUCACCACGGCAGUGUCAGCAGAUUUGGGAACCCAUGAGUCCCUCAAAGGAAACGCAAGAGCUCUCUCCACCGUCACAGCCAUCAUCGACGGCACGGGAUCCAUAGGUGCUGCUCUGGGGCCUCUCCUGGCAGGGCUUAUCUCCCCCACCGGCUGGAAUAAUGUAUUCUACAUGCUGAUAGCAGCUGACGUCUUGGCUUGCCUGCUCCUUGCUCGUGUGGUGGUCAAAGAGGUGCGCGCAUGCUAUGGCUGCAUGGCGAGGAAGAGAGGGUAUGUCCAGCGUGGCAUGGGGAUGUUUGUGGGACAUGGCCGAGGGAUCGCAGUGCUGAGCACCAUCCUUGUGUCUUGUAGCUCUAGUGUGCAGCUCACAGAGUCAGUGCUGGAUGGGAAGUAGCUCGGUGUGAGUACCUCCGGCUGCACCCGCUUCAGCACCAGCACUGAAUGCAAACACUGAUCAGCCCCAGUGCUUGGCGUGUCACUGGCAGCCACACUCCAGCUGGAGGUGUCCCUGCUCGCUGGGGAGUUGGACCAGGCGGUCUUUAAAGGUCCCUUCCAACGCAAACCAUUCUGUGAUUCUAUGAUUGCAAAUAAUUCCAUGGCCAAGCCAAAGGACCCAACCCCAGCGAGAGGGCGUGCUGCAGGCAGGCACUCAGCACAUCCCCAUCUCCAAUGCCUUGGGACGCACAGUACUGAUUAACUCCACACAGCCAAAUUUAGAGGCUGCCCACCUGUGCUAAUGAGUAGAUGACGCUGCUAAUCAGCUCACGGCCAGAUUGCUGUGGGGAGGGUGCACCUAAAUCAUUUCCAAAUCAGCACCGGCCAAACGCCACGGUGAGCCGUGCUGUGCAGCCCAACACGAGCUCCUCCAUCUUGUGCCCGCAGGUGAGGAGCAGCGUCGGUCCUCCUGGCGGUAAGUGCGGCCGGAGCUGCGGCCCCACUGCCGCUUCUGUGCUGUCUGCACCGCGCUGCGGGCGGCGCCUCUGGGGAACGCUGCGGGGCUUCGGGCCGCUCCCGCUCUGCCUGGAGGUUCAAGCGGUUCUGACGCGCCCUCGCCAGCCGUCCCGCGCUGCCGAAGGGUGAAGGCACGCGGCCGCCGUGCCGCCAUGUCACCGUGCCACCGCGCCAGCCCCGGGCCUGUCCCGCCACCAUUUUGUCUCGGUGGGAGGAGGAGGCGGCCAGGAGCAGCGGACAGUGUUGGGGCCAGUUCUGCGCCAUCGGCUGU